GAGCUCAGUACACUCAUGUUUUUCCUCAGAUCGUAUAAAUCUUUCGCCUUUUACUAAAGAUUUCCGUGGGGAAGAACACUAUGAGUUUAUACUCACUGUGA
Molecule: long non-coding RNA, 101 nt
Organism: Sinocyclocheilus grahami
Lineage: Eukaryota; Metazoa; Chordata; Actinopteri; Cypriniformes; Cyprinidae
Exons: 3
Source: RefSeq, a predicted model, not a curated record